CUGAAUCGUUGAUAUUAUUCAGCUCUGAUUACAGGAAUAGUGACUAUUAGAGUAAUCGUUCUUAAAUCUUUUUAUUUUCAACUAACUUUUCCAUUUUCACGUGUCUUUGCUUGAAAUGAUAAAAAAAUAUUUAUGAAAGAUACGGGUAAUAAUCCUUAAAAUUAAAACUCAGGAUGCAUCUGAGUGUGUCGUGUGUCUUUGCUGUCAACAAUCAGUCGAACAAAAUCCAUGUGUUUUGGUUUUAAUUGAAAUGUGCGUUUUUUGUUGAAAUCAUCAGUUUAAAUGUCUAAACACACCUAGGUUCACCGCAAGAUGAACAAAAAGUGGUGCAGAAAUUCCGAAAAAAUGUCGCAGCCAAUAGUAUUUUUUUAUUUACGUGAUAGAUCCGGAUAUGAUAUCCACCAUAAGUGAACCAGGGCAAAUUCUACGGUCAAGAGUGCAGGUUAGUGUCAACAUCCUGCUUAGCAAAGCGGUAACUGCGCUAAUGCAGAAACCAAGGAAGAUUGAGGUUAGGCACCAAAUUUCAAUUGCAGCCGAAAUCCAGCAAGCAAACAGCUACUGAAAACCCGCCACCGGAGUUUAACGAAAAAGACGGUCAAAGCCUUAGGCAUCACGCGCAACAUUCCGCAAGUUGGUGCUUGAUUCCGUUUUCAUUCGGAACUAUAACCACUGGUUCCGUCACCAAGGUCGAGCAGGGAACUGACAUGAAUUUCCCAAAAGCCACAACCACCGGAUAAAUCUGAAGUCAUGGGAACUUUCAACUAGGAGGUAGGCCAACUAAAUGGAAACCCGUUCCGCUCUUUUCUGGAACAAGGUCUCAAAAAGCGGAUCUGUUAACGAUGCUCCUAUCUGCGCUGUACAAGUGUCGCCAGUUAAUCAUCGGUACUGUCGAAAAUCGGAGAUGGUACAUGUGCAACUUGAAAUUAAACGUGAUUAUCAGCAGAAUAUAAAUUUACAGGAGGAAACAAAAAGACCCCAAGAAAACCACGAUGCAUAGAAUCCGAAAUUCACAAGAAUAGUGCGCCGGUCAGAAAUAAGCAGGUGUCCUUUUUGGCCUUCUGAAAUCCAACAAAGAUGGCCAGACAAAUCUUUACCUCUUUAAGGGACAGAAGGAGGGAAUUGGAAAAGUAUCCUGAUAAUUUCCGGUUCCGGAAUAGAAUACACCCUUCUACACCACUGAGGUGUAGGAGGAAGAGGAAGAAGCAUCCGAUGAUUGCCACGGCGGAGGCCUCAUUAUUUCUAUCACUUCAAACGAAGAUCUAGGUUCGAAGGGAGUGUCAGGCAAGCAACAGCUCCAACAUACUUGACUGGGUGUAGGUCAUGCAGCAGUACUCCGCUGAAGGUGCUGCAGCAGCAACCUUCUAGGAGGCAAACACACAAGCGAGCAUCAACAGAACCAAACACAUAUUACUGGCUGGUAUUAAUGUACCAGGAAUCGAUUGUAGGUGAUCUAUCAGCAACCGGCUAGAGCUUGGGGAAAUUAAUCUGAAUUCAGUCCAUGUCCAGAAUCCGACGCAUAAUCGUUGCUGGCUGAUGUCCUGGUCGGCGGACACCAUCGAAAACUCCAAUAGAAGAAGAGGAUUUGGUUUUGUGUAUGAUUAUGUUCCUUAUCGAGAUCAUUGGGUUUCCGAUGAGGAAAAACGAUUAUAUUUAAACUAAGGGAGAAAGAAACGAGCGAAUCCAAAACCGUCCUCCUACGCAUCCUAUUACGGUACACAGAGCCAAUAACGGCAUCUUCAGACUCCAUUUUGGUCCUCUGAUGAUUGUACAUGAGUACCAAGAUUUUCUCGGUAUCGCCAUAUACUGGCCUAAUAUUCAGAAAAAAACAUCUGGUUCCUGCUGAAUAUGGCGAAAUACACCCGAGGGUACUAUUCACCGGAAACGCCACCCAAAGCCGUACCAAUCGGAUGCUGCUAAGUUGCCCUCUAUCGCGCUAUUCUAUCUCUUCGAAUAUCUCAUUGAAACUACGCGAGUAGAAAUAUGCACCGUCAGAACAAGAGGUUCGCAUUAUUGUGGAGGGUUUACUACGAGGUGUUUUUUCUUAUUAAUGCAUUUUUACUACUUCUUAAUUGAACAUCAAUAGCCAAAUCGUUAAGUGUUAUCUUGUUAAUAACUGCUUCGAAUUCUUUGUUUCAUCAUAAAAUUAAAAAUUUUGUAAAAGAUAAAAUGUUAAACGAGGUUUCGAAAAUUCUUGUUUAGGACCCGAUUUCAGUCUUCGGACUUGAUUACAUUAGAGGUGAAAAGCUGAUUCAUAUUUUUAAGGUGUUUUUUGCUAGGAAAUUACCACUAGGGGUAUUUUUAAGGUAGAAAUCUUAACCAAAAAGAAAUGACAAAUAAAAAAAACCGAUUUUAUUAUUCGUAAAUGAAGAAGCGUGAAUCAGGAUUGAAAAAACUAAGAAGUGGUUUGAAAUGAAACAUCUCAUAUGAGAUAAAAAUUAUAAUACUCAAACAAAUAUCAACUCGUGGGUCGUUUUUAGAAUAAGUAUCAAGUAAAAGCACUCUGAAAAGAUUUUAUUUGGUUAUGCGACCAUUCACUGGAUCGAUUUAUAUCAGAGAUGUAUGCGGCAGAAUAUUAUUAUAAGACUAUCAAAAACUAAUGCGAAGGUUGUUGUGGUGGUAAUAAUGUAUAAAAUAAUAUAAAAAUGUAAAUAAUUUGGUAGAAACCUUCCUAUUUUGAUAAAUAAUAAAAUCUCUGAAAAACUAUAACACGAAUCGUCUACUUUUUUCAAUUUGAUCAUAAAACGAUCUCGUAAAGAUACGCUGUAGCGUCAGAAAUAUUUGAUAUGAACGAUUAACUGAAGAUUUAAUAUAUGAUACCACUUGAUUCUCAAUCCAGGAAAGUCUAGAAAAAAACAAAAAAAUUGAAUGGUAACUCUACUUAACGACCCGUUCCCUGUAUCGUAAAGUGCGUCCAAACGAUUCCAUUGCAUGAAAAAAUGAUAAGCCUUAUCUUACAUUAAUAAUCCAAAACUAUAGAUGUAAUCUUUUGUGUGUCUCGGGAAGAAGAUUAUGAGAAUAGUCAUUGUAUAAUACUGCUUC
Long non-coding RNA from Uranotaenia lowii, 3039 nucleotides. RefSeq lists it as uncharacterized. The record is from RefSeq and is a predicted model, not a curated record. Lineage: Eukaryota; Metazoa; Arthropoda; Insecta; Diptera; Culicidae. The transcript is spliced from 7 exons.